Molecule: ribosomal RNA, 624 nt
Filed under: uncultured bacterium
Lineage: Bacteria
Description: bacterial SSU rRNA
Rfam family: Bacterial small subunit ribosomal RNA
Source: RNAcentral
AGUUGGAAACGACUGCUAAUACCGCAUAAGCCCACGGCUCGGCAUCGAGCAGAGGGAAAAGGAGUGAUCCGCUUUGAGAUGGCCUCGCGUCCGAUUAGCUGGUUGGUGAGGUAAUGGCCCACCAAGGCGACGAUCGGUAGCCGGACUGAGAGGUUGAACGGCCACAUUGGGACUGAGACACGGCCCAGACUCCUACGGGAGGCAGCAGUGGGGAAUAUUGCACAAUGGGGGAAACCCUGAUGCAGCGACGCCGCGUGGAGGAAGAAGGUCUUCGGAUUGUAAACUCCUGUUGUUGAGGAAGAUAAUGACGGUACUCAACAAGGAAGUGACGGCUAACUACGUGCCAGCAGCCGCGGUAAAACGUAGGUCACAAGCGUUGUCCGGAAUUACUGGGUGUAAAGGGAGCGCAGGCGGGAGGACAAGUUGGAAGUGAAAUCCAUGGGCUCAACCCAUGAACUGCUUUCAAAACUGCUUUUCUUGAGUAGUGCAGAGGUAGGCGGAAUUCCCGGUGUAGCGGUGGAAUGCGUAGAUAUCGGGAGGAACACCAGUGGCGAAGGCGGCCUACUGGGCACCAACUGACGCUGAGGCUCGAAAGUGUGGGUAGCAAACAGGAUUAGAUACCCU